AUGCUACAAAUACCUUGGAGCCAAAACAGCCACGUUCCUCAAAAUCCGGUCAUUCUGCUGUAUAAAGAGCAUGUCCUCUGCAGUCUCUUCAGUGGACCUUCAGUGACCAGUCUCCUCAGCAUGAAAGAAACAUUCAACACCGGCCUGUUGUUUGCAGCAUCCGAACCUGAGGCAUACUCUUCCAAGAUCAAGUUAAGGUCGCUUGGAAGCUUGCUCAAAUAUUGGAGCCCUGAAGGUUUUGCGUGUAGUCUCCCGGGAGGGCUGCGUGCAACUGCUCCAAGCAAACUGCGACAGCUAAUGCCAAUCAACAAUAUGUUCAGGAUACGGUCCUUUCGUGUUCUUUCCUCACUAAAAUCAUGGCUGAUCUUGCUGCUUGGAUUCUCUUUGCACAUCCCACUUAUUGAAUCCAAAAUCAAGCACAGGGGGAUAUUCUCCAAGUCAUCGAAUUUUCUGUCUGCUGAAGUCUGCCUGCCGACAUCUGCCUGCCAAGCAACACUCCUUACAAGGAUAUUGCCACCUGAAAAGCGCUAUCUUUUCCAUGAUCUUUGCAGAUCCUGCUGGAGAUACUAUGGCUGAGCAAACUUUGUAUUAAAGAUGAAGAGUAAAAGCUAACUAAAAGAUUGUUCCAGAAUGCUUCUGAUUUUUUUGUUUACCUAGAUUAAAUUUUCAAGAAUUGUGUGUGAUUUUUACUAAAAAAAAAAAAAAGUGACCAUAUCAAUUUGGGGAAACGGCUUUCCUAAUCUGAACUAAAGUAAUGUUUUCCUCAUGAAAAUAAUCACAGACUUCAAAAGUAGACUGCAAAGUUUUGAAUUGCUGCCCCCGCUAAUGAGUUUCAUGUGAAACCCAAACUAUAGGCCUAAAGAGCAGCCCUCAGGAGAGAGCCCUUUUGUCUUGUAAGUGUUUGUUGAAGUGUUGGAAAUACACAUUUUGAUUGAUUCAUUGUAGCGCUUUGCUACUAGCAUGCCAUUUGGCUAUGCAAAGAGUCAGAGCCCAGUGUUUUCCUGUGGCUGAAAAGAAACUUUGGUUCUUCUUGAAUGAAAUACCUUGUGCUGUUGAAUGGAAAAAGUAGGGUGUUACUUUUUUUUCCUUCAGAUAAUUAUUUAUAUCUGACUCAUUACUUUCCAUACAAUUCAGAUGCUGAACCCGUGGUAUAUUUCUAAUUAACCCACGAAAAAAUAAAGAUUCCGUGUUUUUAAAUCCA
RNAcentral lists this long non-coding RNA (1201 nucleotides) under Struthio camelus australis. RNAcentral describes it as "lncRNA (ENSSCUG00000007420.1)". The record is from RNAcentral. Lineage: Eukaryota; Metazoa; Chordata; Aves; Struthioniformes; Struthionidae.